UUUCCGUAGGUGAACCUGCGGAAGGAUCAUUAUCGUAUAACCGAGGUGCGAGGGCUGUCGCUGACCCGAAAGGUCGUGCACGCCCGAGUGCCCUCACACACAUCCAUCUCACCCCUAUGUGCACCACCGCGUGGGUCCCCCUUUGGCUUGUUCGGAGGGGGGCUUACGUUUUCACACAAACCCCCCUUUUAAAAGUGUAGAAUGACCACAUUUAUGCAAUCAAUACAACUUUCAACAACGGAUCUCUUGGCUCUC
This 255-nucleotide unclassified non-coding RNA is filed under the name plant metagenome. Its description in RNAcentral is "partial contains small subunit ribosomal RNA, internal transcribed spacer 1, and 5.8S ribosomal RNA". The record is from RNAcentral.